UUUGGCAGUGCUCGCAAGAGAACCGGAACACAGGUGCUGCAUGGCUGUCGUCAGCUCGUGUCGUGAGAUGUUGGGUUAAGUCCCGCAACGAGCGCAACCCUUGUCAUUAGUUGCUACGAAAGGGCACUCUAAUGAGACUGCCGGUGACAAACCGGAGGAAGGUGGGGAUGACGUCAAGUCCUCAUGGCCCUUAUGGGUAGGGCUUCACACGUCAUACAAUGGUCGGGACAGAGGGUCGCCAACCCGCGAGGGGGAGCCAAUCCCAGAAACCCGAUCGUAGUCCGGAUUGCAGGCUGCAACUCGCCUGCAUGAAGUCGGAAUCGCUAGUAAUCGCGGAUCAGCAUGUCGCGGUGAAUACGUUCCCGGGUCUU
RNAcentral lists this ribosomal RNA (371 nucleotides) under uncultured Achromobacter sp. RNAcentral describes it as "bacterial SSU rRNA". It matches the Rfam family "Bacterial small subunit ribosomal RNA", at positions 1007 to 1382 of the family's 1533-position model. The record is from RNAcentral. Lineage: Bacteria; Pseudomonadati; Pseudomonadota; Betaproteobacteria; Burkholderiales; Alcaligenaceae.